This 151-nucleotide unclassified non-coding RNA is filed under the name Pocillopora damicornis (cauliflower coral). RNAcentral's name for it is "uromodulin-like, transcript variant X1". The record is from RNAcentral. Lineage: Eukaryota; Metazoa; Cnidaria; Anthozoa; Scleractinia; Pocilloporidae.
UGAAUGUAAAAGCAGCAACGAUGUCUGUGACAAGAAUGCAAACUGCUCCAAUACUGUUGGGUUUUAUAAUUGCACCUGUAAAGAAGGAUUUACUGGGGAUGGACACUCAUGCUCAGAUAUAGAUGAAUGCAAAGGCAGCAAUACUGUGUGU